GGAUGUGAGGGCGAUCUGGCUGCGACCUCUGUCACCCCAUUGAUUCAGCUGAUCUGGCUGGCUAGGCAGGUGUCCCCUUCCUCCCUCACCGCUCCAUGUGCGUCCCCCACCCCCACCCCUGAAGCUGCACGCUCCUUCCCUGAUAGGAGGAGGACCGUCCUUCCUCCCGUCAAGGGUAUGUGAGGCACUGCACAGCCCUGCUCCGAACAAGUCUCAAGAAGGGAGGGGAGCCAGGUGGCAUCGUGCCUAUUCCUUGACUGGAACUGACCUAAUGAUGCAUUCAAUCACCA
Molecule: small nuclear RNA, 290 nt
Filed under: Echinops telfairi (small Madagascar hedgehog)
Lineage: Eukaryota; Metazoa; Chordata; Mammalia; Afrosoricida; Tenrecidae
Description: 7SK RNA (ENSETEG00000024060.1)
Rfam family: 7SK RNA (bases 1-254)
About the family: 7SK was discovered as an abundant small nuclear RNA in the mid-70s but a possible function has only recently been suggested. Two independent studies have found that 7SK RNA binds the CDK9/cyclin T complex (known as elongation factor P-TEFb).
Source: RNAcentral